RNAcentral lists this ribosomal RNA (49 nucleotides) under Dendrobium capillipes. RNAcentral describes it as "partial 26S ribosomal RNA". Lineage: Eukaryota; Viridiplantae; Streptophyta; Magnoliopsida; Asparagales; Orchidaceae. The record is from RNAcentral.
GUGACCCCAGGAUGGGCGAGGCCACCCGCCGAGUUUAAGCAUAUCAAUA